This 73-nucleotide ribosomal RNA is filed under the name uncultured Stichotrichia. RNAcentral describes it as "partial Eukaryotic large subunit ribosomal RNA". Lineage: Eukaryota; Ciliophora; Spirotrichea. The record is from RNAcentral.
UGAAAAGAACUUUGAAAAGAGAGUGAAAAAGUACCUGCAAUUGCUGAAAAGGAACCGAUGGGAAGUAGUGUGG